GAUGAACGCUGGCGGCGUGCUUAACACAUGCAAGUCGAACGAUGAAGCCCAGCUUGCUGGGUGGAUUAGUGGCGAACGGGUGAGUAACACGUGAGCAACCUGCCCCUGACUCUGGGAUAAGCGCUGGAAACGGCGUCUAAUACUGGAUAUGUCCCGUCACCGCAUGGGGUGCGGGUGGAAAGAUUUUUCGUUUGGGGAUGGGCUCGCGGCCUAUCAGCUUGUUGGUGAGGAAAUGGCUCACCAAGGCGUCGACGGGUAGCCGGCCUGGGAGGGUGACCGGCCACACUGGGACUGAGACACGGCCCAGACUCCUACGGGAGGCAGCAGUGGGGAAUAUUGCACAAUGGGCGGAAGCCUGAUGCAGCAACGCCGCGUGAGGGAUGACGGCCUUCGGGUUGUAAACCUCUUUUAGCAGGGAAGAAGCGAAAGUGACGGUACCUGCAGAAAAAGCACCGGCUAACUACGUG
This 467-nucleotide ribosomal RNA is filed under the name uncultured bacterium. RNAcentral's name for it is "partial 16S ribosomal RNA". It matches the Rfam family "Bacterial small subunit ribosomal RNA", at positions 28 to 507 of the family's 1533-position model. The record is from RNAcentral.